Molecule: transfer RNA, 86 nt
Filed under: Riquetophycus sp. HSY-2014a
Lineage: Eukaryota; Rhodophyta; Florideophyceae; Peyssonneliales; Peyssonneliaceae
Description: tRNA-Tyr
Rfam family: tRNA
About the family: Transfer RNA (tRNA) molecules are approximately 80 nucleotides in length. Their secondary structure includes four short double-helical elements and three loops (D, anti-codon, and T loops).
Source: RNAcentral
GAAGGGAUGGCUGAGUGGUUUAAAGCGAUAGACUGUAAAUCUAUUUAAUUUUUUAUUAAUCGUAGGUUCAAAUCCUACUCUCUUCA